RNAcentral lists this ribosomal RNA (214 nucleotides) under Escherichia coli. Its description in RNAcentral is "partial 16S ribosomal RNA". It matches the Rfam family "Bacterial small subunit ribosomal RNA", at positions 511 to 724 of the family's 1533-position model. The record is from RNAcentral. Lineage: Bacteria; Pseudomonadati; Pseudomonadota; Gammaproteobacteria; Enterobacterales; Enterobacteriaceae.
GCAGCCGCGGUAAUACAGAGGUCUCAAGCGUUGUUCGGAAUCACUGGGCGUAAAGCGUACGUAGGCGGCUUGGUAAGUCGGGUGUGAAAGGCAGGGGCUCAACCUCUGGACUGCACAUGAUACUGCCAGGCUAGAGUAAUGGAGGGGAAACCGGAAUUCUCGGUGUAGCAGUGAAAUGCGUAGAUAUGUGGAAGAACACCGAUGGCGAAGGCAG